UACGUAGGGGGCAAGCGUUAUCCGGAUUUACUGGGUGUAAAGGGAGCGUAGACAGCCUUGCAAGUCUGGUGUGAAAGCCCGGGGCUCAACCCCGGGACUGCAUUGGAAACUGCAUGGCUGGAGUGCAGGAGAGGUAAGCGGAAUUCCUAGUGUAGCGGUGAAAUGCGUAGAUAUUAGGAGGAACACCAGUGGCGAAGGCGGCUUACUGGACUGUAACUGACGUUGAGGCUCGAAAGCGUGGGGAGCAAACAGG
Molecule: ribosomal RNA, 253 nt
Filed under: uncultured bacterium
Lineage: Bacteria
Description: partial 16S ribosomal RNA
Rfam family: Bacterial small subunit ribosomal RNA
Source: RNAcentral